RNAcentral lists this ribosomal RNA (537 nucleotides) under Triticum aestivum (bread wheat). RNAcentral describes it as "partial small subunit ribosomal RNA". Lineage: Eukaryota; Viridiplantae; Streptophyta; Magnoliopsida; Poales; Poaceae. The record is from RNAcentral.
AUGGAUAACACCAACUGCCCCAUAAUGAGUUCGAAUGUAAGAGGCCUAAACACACCGGCUCGACGCUCUGUAGUUUGUGACACCGCGAGCACGCAUAGACUGGACAUACUAUGCCUUCAGGAGACAAAGAUUGAAAUCUGGUCGCCCGCGCUAGCUAGGGAAAUUGGAGGGGGCAGGCUAGAUGAUUGCGCCGUGCUGCCGGCCAUAGGAACGCGGGGAGGAAUUGCCAUCUUCUGGAACUCCGACACCGUCUCUGUCCAAACUCACGCGAUAGGCCAAUUCUCCAUCACGGCUAGAAUUAGUCUAAUUGGAUCCCAAAACUCCUUCUGGCUGACAACGGUCUAUGGGCCAGCAGAUGAGCUGCGCAAGGACGAGUUCCUCGCCGAGAUCGCCAGGGCGGCCCAGCCCGGGGAGGCUUGGCUAAUCAACAACGACUUCAACAUCAUAUAUGAGGCUAGAGACAAAAACAAUAGUAACAUUAACCGCAGGAUCAUGGGCAAGUUUAGAGAAGCCAUCGAUGCGGGGGGGCCAACGUGA